CAGCCGCCGCGGUAAUACCGGCGGCCCGAGUGGUGGCCGCUAUUAUUGGGCCUAAAGCGUCCGUAGCCGGGCCCGUAAGUCCCUGGCGAAAUCCCACGGCUCAACCGUGGGGCUUGCUGGGGAUACUGCGGGCCUUGGGACCGGGAGAGGCGGGGGGUACCCCCGGGGGAGGGGGGAAAUCCUAUAAUCCCCGGGGGACCGCCAGUGGCGAAGGCGCCCCGCUGGAACGGGUCCGACGGUGAGGGACGAAGGCCAGGGGAGCAAACCGGAUUAGAUACCCGGGUAGUCCUGGCUGUAAAGGAUGCGGGCUAGGUGUCGGGUGAGCUUCGGGCUCGCCCGGUGCCGUAGGGAAGCCGUUAAGCCCGCCGCCUGGGGAGUACGGCCGCAAGGCUGAAACUUAAAGGAAUUGGCGGG
RNAcentral lists this ribosomal RNA (414 nucleotides) under uncultured microorganism. RNAcentral describes it as "bacterial SSU rRNA". It matches the Rfam family "Archaeal small subunit ribosomal RNA", at positions 459 to 872 of the family's 1478-position model. The record is from RNAcentral.